GAUGUGAGGGCGAUCUGGCUGUGACAUGUGUCACCCCACUGAUCACCAGAGUUGAUUCGGCUGAUCUGGCUGGCUCAGUGGGUGUCCCCUUCUUCCCUCAGUGCUC
RNAcentral lists this small RNA (106 nucleotides) under Octodon degus (degu). RNAcentral's name for it is "7SK RNA (ENSODEG00000022669.1)". It matches the Rfam family "7SK RNA", at positions 2 to 107 of the family's 331-position model. Rfam says of the family: 7SK was discovered as an abundant small nuclear RNA in the mid-70s but a possible function has only recently been suggested. Lineage: Eukaryota; Metazoa; Chordata; Mammalia; Rodentia; Octodontidae. The record is from RNAcentral.